RNAcentral lists this ribosomal RNA (112 nucleotides) under Periophthalmus magnuspinnatus. The record is from RNAcentral. Lineage: Eukaryota; Metazoa; Chordata; Actinopteri; Gobiiformes; Gobiidae.
UUUACUAAGCAAAUCUCCUUGUCAAAGCCUGAUUUCGUCAGAUUUCGGAAGCUAAGCAGGGCUGGGUGUGGUUAGUAUUUGAAUGGCAAAACUUGUUGUGUCCUUAGGCAAA